AAAACGAACAUAUUUUUCUAACAACAAAAGAAACAAAUAGAGAAACAAGACAGGCAACAUAAAGAAUAUUCCCUUCAUCAGUUGUCCCCUGUUCUAUCUACUCUGCAUUUUGAAUCUGAUCUGGCAGUGUUUCUACAGCUGGAUGCCCUUCCUAAC
Long non-coding RNA from Octopus sinensis (East Asian common octopus), 156 nucleotides. RefSeq lists it as uncharacterized. NCBI's taxonomy places the organism in Eukaryota, Metazoa, Mollusca, Cephalopoda, Octopoda, Octopodidae. The transcript is spliced from 3 exons. The record is from RefSeq and is a predicted model, not a curated record.